CCUACGGGUGGCAGCAGUGAGGAAUAUUGGUCAAUGGCCGGAAGGCUGAACCAGCCAAGUCGCGUGAGGGAAUAAGGCCCUAUGGGUCGUAAACCUCUUUUGUCAGUGAGCAAAGGCGUCCACGAGUGGACGAAAGGAGAGUACCUGAAUACAAAUCAUCGGCUAACUCCGUGCCAGCCGCCGCGGUAAUACGGAGGCUGCGAGCGGUAUCCGGAUUUAUUGGGUUUAAAGGGUGCGUAGGCGGAGUGUCAAGUCAGCGGUAAACUUUCGGGGCUCAACCCCGUCGUGCCGUUGACACUGACACCAUUGAGUGAGUGAGAAGGAAGCGGAAUGCGUGGUGUAGCGGUGAAAGGCAUAGAGAUCACGCAGAACGCCGAGUGCGAAGGCAGCUUACCGGCGCUCAACUGACGCUGAGGCACGAAAGUGCGGGUAUCGAACAGGAUUAGAUACCCUUGUAGUC
RNAcentral lists this ribosomal RNA (460 nucleotides) under uncultured bacterium. RNAcentral describes it as "partial 16S ribosomal RNA". It matches the Rfam family "Bacterial small subunit ribosomal RNA", at positions 338 to 795 of the family's 1533-position model. The record is from RNAcentral.